AGCUCAGAUGGUAAAGCAUCUGCCUACAAUGCAGGAGAUCCGGGUUCGAUCCCUGG
This 56-nucleotide transfer RNA is filed under the name Ovis aries (sheep). It matches the Rfam family "tRNA", at positions 9 to 63 of the family's 71-position model. From Rfam's summary of the family: Transfer RNA (tRNA) molecules are approximately 80 nucleotides in length. Their secondary structure includes four short double-helical elements and three loops (D, anti-codon, and T loops). Further hydrogen bonds mediate the characteristic L-shaped molecular structure. tRNAs have two regions of fundamental functional importance: the anti-codon, which is responsible for specific mRNA codon recognition, and the 3' end, to which the tRNAs corresponding amino acid is attached (by aminoacyl-tRNA synthetases). tRNAs cope with the degeneracy of the genetic code in two manners: having more than one tRNA (with a specific anti-codon) for a particular amino acid; and 'wobble' base-pairing, i.e. permitting non-standard base-pairing at the 3rd anti-codon position. The record is from Rfam by way of RNAcentral. Lineage: Eukaryota; Metazoa; Chordata; Mammalia; Artiodactyla; Bovidae.